GGAUGAGCCCGCGGCCUAUUAGCUUGUUGGUGAGGUAACGGCUCACCAAGGCGACGAUGGGUAGCUGGUCUGAGAGGACGGCCAGCCACACUGGAACUGGUACACGGUCCAGACUCCUACGGGAGGCAGCAGUGAGGAAUAUUGCGCAAUGGGGGAAACCCUGACGCAGCGAUGCCGCGUGGGUGAAGAAGGCCUUCGGGUCGUAAAGCCCUGUCAAGCGGGAAGAAUAGCUCUGAGGCGAAUAACCUCAGGGUGUGACUGUACCGCUGAAGGAAGCACCGGCUAACUACGUGCCAGCAGCCGCGGCCG
This 309-nucleotide ribosomal RNA is filed under the name uncultured actinomycete. RNAcentral's name for it is "bacterial SSU rRNA". It matches the Rfam family "Bacterial small subunit ribosomal RNA", at positions 223 to 523 of the family's 1533-position model. The record is from RNAcentral. Lineage: Bacteria; Bacillati; Actinomycetota; Actinomycetes; Actinomycetales.